GAAGUAUUAAAAAUAAAAAAAAAUAAGAAAAAAAAAAAAAUGCAGGCAGAAGGAGGGUUUUAGGUAGGAGAUGGGGGAGAGAAAGGGCUUCAGGGAGGAGUGCCGGCUUGCCAUCAAUGGAGCCAGUGAGCCACCCUAGCAUCAGAAUAAGAAUUAAAAGAAAAAAUAUACCAGAGAACGAGAAGAAGAGCAGCGGGCUAGGAGAAGAA
Molecule: long non-coding RNA, 209 nt
Organism: Telopea speciosissima
Lineage: Eukaryota; Viridiplantae; Streptophyta; Magnoliopsida; Proteales; Proteaceae
Exons: 3
Source: RefSeq, a predicted model, not a curated record